AGGUGUCUGUCCUCCGAGGUGUCUGUGUGUCCUCCGAGUUGUCCCGCACCUUGUGAGCCCGAGCACGCGACCCAGAAAUGGGGACACGGUCAGCGAGCAUCGGCAGGCAGGGGGCCUCUGCACAGACCCGGCUGCGCGUGUCCUCGUGUGUCUGGCCCGGCCGGGAGGGAGCACGGAGGAUGCGGCCGGCGCAGCCCCGCCCCCCCCGCUCCCCCUCCCCCGGGACGGCCACCCGGGGCACGUCAGCUGCCCAGGGCCAUCUGCGCGCCAGGCCCUUCCGCCACACUCUUGCGCCUACGUUGGGCCAGAGGCCGGCCCGGCCCCCGAGGUCCCUCCCCGCAGGGCUGUGCUGGCCUAGAGACCCGACCGUGGCCGGGACGAAACCCCGCGUCCCCUCGGGAUGCACGGGGAAUAAGCCGUUCUGCACCCGUCGGCGGACAGUCAGGUGGAGGGGGCUCCUCGACGGGCCAUCUGGACCCCCAGGACGAGCCGUGGCCCCGUCCCCGGGGGCCAAGAUGUCGGGCCGGGCGGUGUGGCCGGAGGGCCAGGCGCAGACGGCCCCUCCUCACCAGGUGUCACCCUCCCGGGCCAUGAGGGCCGUCGCUCCCGCUCCCCGCCCUGCCAGCUCUGCGCUCAGGGGCCUGGUCGUAUCCCGUCGGAGCCCCGGAGGACCCCGUGGGGACGUCACCUCAGAGAAAUAUUAUCGGUUGGCCUAGAUGCUGUGAAUCAUAUAAAUUGAGCUCAUACUUAGAAGAAAUUUAAACAAUCAAGCAUCCUUGUGUUUCAGAGGAAAACUUACUCCUGAUACAUUCAAAGGUAUGUGGGUUUUUUCAUAAUUUGGAUUCCUUUCUAUUAUGUUUCUUUGUUUCUCUGUAUUUCAUAUUUCACAGAGGCAAUUGUAUUCCACGUUUAUAAUACUACAUACUAUCCAGAAUUAAUUAAUUUAGCUUGACCACAAUCGAAUUACUCUUUGAUAAGUUAAGUGAAAUUUUUACUUUCUAAUGUAGCAAAGCAUUUGUCUCUAUUUUUUAAAGUUUUGUUACAGAACUGAAAAGAAUAUUCCCAAACCAAAGCACAAUAAUAUUUCUUUUAAUUUCUUAUAAAUUAAAUUAAAAUAACAUUUUCAGGGCCUGUUAAAAACAUUGAAUAAUAUUUCAUUUAAGUACAUUAAAUAACUUACUUCUAAAAUGAGAUCAUUUACAAAAUGUUCAUACCAUCUUUUCCUUAUAAUUAAAAAAAAUAGAAUAUAAACAAACUGUGCUUCUUAUAUCUGCAUUAUUACACAUUAUAUUCACUUUCUAUAGAAAGAUUUAAGGUUUUUCUACUUGUGGUUGUAAAGUAAGUCAAGAACUUGGGCCUUGAAGCAAUAUGUAUUUCUUAGGAUGUUUCGAGUUUUGCUUCAUAUUCCAUGUUUCUAAUUUGUGCGGUAAUUAUAGUGCAAUGUCUAAGAAAAGUACUGAUUAAAGAUGGAAACUUUUAGGGAGAAAUCACUCUAAUUUAUUGAUGGAUCAAAUAGUACCAGAAUCAAAGAUAAUUAGAAAACUCUCUUUCUGGGAAAGGUCAUUGUUUACAUCUUUUGCAUUGUGGAUUCCUGGAGCUCAGAGAUGUUACUUAAUUUUUUUUUUCUUCUCAGAUAACUAACUUAUUUUUAGUGGUAGCAAUGCCCAGUGGACAAUACAAGAAAUAUUCCUGUGGCUCUCGUUCUAA
This 1707-nucleotide long non-coding RNA is filed under the name Vulpes vulpes (red fox). Its description in RNAcentral is "lncRNA (ENSVVUG00000002037.1)". The record is from RNAcentral. Lineage: Eukaryota; Metazoa; Chordata; Mammalia; Carnivora; Canidae.